CUUCCCCUUCGGGGGACAAAGUGACAGGUGGUGCAUGGUUGUCGUCAGCUCGUGUCGUGAGAUGUUGGGUUAAGUCCCGCAACGAGCGCAACCCUUAAGCUUAGUUGCCAGCAUUAAGUUGGGCACUCUAAGUUGACUGCCGGUGACAAACCGGAGGAAGGUGGGGAUGACGUCAAAUCAUCAUGCCCCUUAUGAUUUGGGCUACACACGUGCUACAAUGGACGGUACAAAGGGCAGCGAACCCG
Molecule: ribosomal RNA, 245 nt
Filed under: Staphylococcus simulans
Lineage: Bacteria; Bacillati; Bacillota; Bacilli; Caryophanales; Staphylococcaceae
Description: partial 16S ribosomal RNA
Rfam family: Bacterial small subunit ribosomal RNA
Source: RNAcentral